UUGCAUCGACGAAGAAGUGACGGCAUGUAUUCUCAAAAUAGCUGCAAAUAGAUACAGAGAUCGGCGAUGUAGGCUUCAUAAAUACUGCAAUGAGUUGCAGGCGAAGGGAAUUGAUCCUGUGACCCAGCCAUACAGAAAUUGGGCUGGGUCUAGUGACGAUUGGCGGUGGUUAUGUGAGCAUUUUGGAAGUGAGACAUUUCAGCGACGAUCGGAGGUGAAUAAGGUGAAUAGGAGUAAGAUUGAUUCUAUUCACACGCAAGGAAGUGCCUCUUUUGCACAGGAAAUGAAGAGGAUGGUACGUAACUAUAUUUGCAAUCAUACUUUGUAAUUUCUUAUUAAAUAUUUAUAUUAUUUUGAUAUCUUUUUUUUCUUUUUUUGUUUGAACAUGGACUAUCUGGAGUCGACGCCUAUGCUAAAUUCUAUCAAAACAAGAGUGGCGAGUUCGUGACUGAGGAGGCGAGGCAGCGUCAUGUAAGUAUCAUUACUCUACAUUUUGAAUAUUUUUAAAGAGUUUGAAAAAAAAUUAUGAUUUUAUUUGGUUUAUUGUGAAGAAAAAAAUGUUAGAAUUGAGAGAGCAUGUGACGAGGGAGGUGGGAUCUGACGGUGAUACUGGAUCGCAGCAGGUUUGUUUGAUGACAGAUGAUACGAUUUUGGAUACCGUCCUCGGGCGGCAGCUAGGAUCUGGUCAUAGCAUGCGGUCCAAAAAAUCACGCAGUUCGUCAUCCGACCGGUCUGAUGAUGCAUCGGUGCCAGAGGCGGUUAGGACAUCCAUGAGCAUGAUGCAAGAUCAGAUUAGUUACUGGAUGAAUCGUAGUCAGACGCUCAAGAGGAUCGUAGCUGCGAUGGCGGGACGGCUCGGUAUUGAUACUUCUGAGUUAGCACCUCUACAGUCACAUGAUGCCGUCUCUGCACCACCAUCGCGACACAUAUCGGGUCAGGGAUCGAUGCCUGGAGAAGGGAACGAGGCCAACGAGUCAGAUCAUACCUAGUUUGUAGUUAUUUUAAAUUUAAAAUGGUGUAUGGACUUAUAUUUUUGUAUAUAACAAAGAUGGUUAUGAAACUUUUUGAUACUUGAAAUUGGUCUUUUGACUUAGAAUA
Non-coding RNA from Elaeis guineensis (African oil palm), 1098 nucleotides. Lineage: Eukaryota; Viridiplantae; Streptophyta; Magnoliopsida; Arecales; Arecaceae. The record is from RefSeq and is a predicted model, not a curated record.